UGUUUUUAAGUUGACUUCGUGUUUCUAAGUUGACUUUGUGUUUCUAAGUUGACUUUGUGUUUUUAAGUUGACUUUGUGUUUCUAAGUUGACUUUGUGUUUCUAAGUUGACUUUGUGUUUUUAAGUUGACUUUGUGUUUCUAAGUUGACUUUGUGUUUCUAAGUUGACUUUGUGUUUCUAAGUUGACUUUGUGUUUCUAAGUUGACUUUGUGUUUUUAAGUUGACUUUGUGUUUCUAAGUUGACUUUGUGUUUCUAAGUUGACUUUGUGUUUCUAAGUUGACUUUGUGUUUUUAAGUUGACUUUGUGUUUCUAAGUUGACUUUGUGUUUCUAAGUUGACUUUGUGUUUCUAAGUUGACUUUGUGUUUCUAAGGUGACUUUGUGUUUCUAAGUUGACUUUGUGUUUCUAAGUUGACUUUGUGUUUCUAAGUUGACUUUGUGUUUCUAAGGUGACUUUGUGUUUUUAAGUUGACUUUGUGUUUUUAAGUUGACUUUGUGUUUCUAAGUUGACUUUGUGUUUUUAAGUUGACUUUGUGUUUCUAAGUUGACUUUGUGUUUCUAAGUUGACUUUGUGUUUUUAAGUUGACUUUGUGUUUCUAAGUUGACUUUGUGUUUCUAAGUUGACUUUGUGUUUCUAAGUUGACUUUGUGUUUCUAAGUUGACUUUGUGUUUUUAAGUUGACUUUGUGUUUCUAAGUUGACUUUGUGUUUCUAAGUUGACUUUGUGUUUUUAAGUUGACUUUGUGUUUCUAAGUUGACUUUGUGUUUCUAAGUUGACUUUGUGUUUUUAAGUUGACUUUGUGUUUUUAAGUUGACUUUGUGUUUCUAAGUUGACUUUGUGUUUCUAAGUUGACUUUGUGUUUUUAAGUUGACUUUGUGUUUCUAAGUUGACUUUUGUUUCUAAGUUGACUUUGUGUUUCUAAGUUGACUUUGUGUUUUUAAGUUGACUUUGUGUUUUUAAGUUGACUUUAUAUUUCUAAGCUAACGUAUUUCACAGACCUUGCGGUGUACUCUGACUUUCACAUGUAAAAUACAUGUAAGUGCUUUUUUCUACCACACUUUGAUUGUACAGUGUUGCUUGUAUGAUUUCCGGGUACAGCAUGUAUUUUAAACUUUUCUAAAUGAUAACUGUACAUAAUCUGUACGAGCAUGAGGAUUAGCAGGUUUAGCGUGUAUGUAUAUAAACGAGCUGUAAGUUUCUGAAGGGAAACACUUGAAAAUCACCAGAUAUCGGAGAAACUCUGCGAUGCAUUUUUUUGUGCCUUUUAUAUGACAUAUAUAAUCUAGACAAUCCUCAAAUGCUUGUGUGAAACCAAAAUGACAUUAAAAUGGUUUUGG
Molecule: long non-coding RNA, 1335 nt
Organism: Thalassophryne amazonica
Lineage: Eukaryota; Metazoa; Chordata; Actinopteri; Batrachoidiformes; Batrachoididae
Exons: 2
Source: RefSeq, a predicted model, not a curated record